UACAUAUAGCUCAGUGGUAGAGUACUUGCCUACCAUGCAAAACGCUCUGAGUUUAAUCCCCAGUACUGUAA
RNAcentral lists this transfer RNA (71 nucleotides) under Cavia porcellus (domestic guinea pig). It matches the Rfam family "tRNA". From Rfam's summary of the family: Transfer RNA (tRNA) molecules are approximately 80 nucleotides in length. Their secondary structure includes four short double-helical elements and three loops (D, anti-codon, and T loops). Lineage: Eukaryota; Metazoa; Chordata; Mammalia; Rodentia; Caviidae. The record is from Rfam by way of RNAcentral.